This 88-nucleotide transfer RNA is filed under the name Aquabacterium sp. Its description in RNAcentral is "tRNA-Ser". It matches the Rfam family "tRNA". From Rfam's summary of the family: Transfer RNA (tRNA) molecules are approximately 80 nucleotides in length. Their secondary structure includes four short double-helical elements and three loops (D, anti-codon, and T loops). The record is from RNAcentral. RNAcentral also lists the same sequence under 8 other names. Lineage: Bacteria; Pseudomonadati; Pseudomonadota; Betaproteobacteria; Burkholderiales; Sphaerotilaceae.
GGAGAGGUGGCAGAGUGGUCGAAUGUACCUGACUCGAAAUCAGGCGAACCGCAAGGUUCCGAGGGUUCGAAUCCCUCCCUCUCCUCCA